GGGUCCGCCAUCCCUUCUGCCUUAGCCGCGAGGCUCGCCCCCACCGUGGGAGAGGUCGGAGCUCCGCUGCGGAGAAAACCGCGCUCGCAGAGGCGGCGGCGGCUCCCCAUGACCAGCGCCGGCCCUCGCCGGCUCCUCACAUACUUGGCAUAACUCUGCCGCGGGAAGGCGUGGGGGAGGGCGGUGGCGCCGCAACGCGCAUGCCCCGGAGCCCUGGGCCGCGACGGGGCGCGCGGGCCGCGGGCGGCAGAGAAACAUUUCUCAAGUGUCUACAAGUUCUAGAAAGGGAGUUUUUCGGAGGUGGCCACUCUACAGAAUAGUCCGUCGCCAUCAGGCCUCUGAAGCAAGGGGAAGGGGAAGAGAAAAAGCUGAAACACAAGGUUCAUCUGAAAAUGGUAAAUGAGGGCAAGAAAGAUGCAUUCCAGAACCUGCAUACCAAAAUAUUACAGACACACAGGAAAUGACUCUUCAAAUCCAGGCUGUAAACCUGUCAUUUCGUGGGCUUGUCUGCGAGCCUAGAAAAGCUAGGCAAAGAUCACACUGAAGACAUUCCUGUUUGGGGCUGGCUGUACUGGAGGACCUCUGGAGGCCUUUCCAUGCCAGGUACUAUGAUUCUAAACACAAGCCAUAAAAUGAAAUGUUAGAGGAAAGCCAAUGAAAUUUGAGGCAAAAUUUGUGGCUUAAAGCUUAUUUUGCUUUAAAAAAAUGCAUGCAGACUUCGAAAAACUAUACUUUACAUGCAAUAAAAACUUU
This is a non-coding RNA of Saimiri boliviensis boliviensis (Bolivian squirrel monkey), 753 nucleotides long. NCBI's taxonomy places the organism in Eukaryota, Metazoa, Chordata, Mammalia, Primates, Cebidae. The record is from RefSeq and is a predicted model, not a curated record.